AACGCGAAGAACCUUACCUGGGUUUGACAUGCACAGGACGCCGGCAGAGAUGUCGGUUCCCUUGUGGCCUGUGUGCAGGUGGUGCAUGGCUGUCGUCAGCUCGUGUCGUGAGAUGUUGGGUUAAGUCCCGCAACGAGCGCAACCCUUGUCUCAUGUUGCCAGCACGUUAUGGUGGGGACUCGUGAGAGACUGCCGGGGUCAACUCGGAGGAAGGUGGGGAUGACGUCAAGUCAUCAUGCCCCUUAUGUCCAGGGCUUCACACAUGCUACAAUGGCCGGUACAAAGGGCUGCGAUGCCGUGAGGUGGAGCGAAUCCUUGUUAAAGCCGGUCUCAGUUCGGAUACGGGGUCUGCAACUCGACCCACGUGAAGUCGGAGUCGCUAGUAAUCGCAGAUCAGCAACGCUGCGGUGAAUACGUUCCCGGGUCUUGUACACACCG
Molecule: ribosomal RNA, 438 nt
Filed under: uncultured bacterium
Lineage: Bacteria
Description: bacterial SSU rRNA
Rfam family: Bacterial small subunit ribosomal RNA
Source: RNAcentral